This is a long non-coding RNA of Ficedula albicollis (Collared flycatcher), 2337 nucleotides long. The record is from Ensembl. NCBI's taxonomy places the organism in Eukaryota, Metazoa, Chordata, Aves, Passeriformes, Muscicapidae.
AUGCGCAGGCCGCGGUCCCGCCGUGCGCUCGGGAACGGUGAGAUGGCGGAGCCCCGCGAUCGCGGCAGCCCGAAGUGCGGUGGGGCCGGCGGGCGCGGCCCCUUUAAGAGUAAGAGCACCACGGCGGCGCCGGGCACGGCGGCGGCCGCUCCACGCAUGCGCACAGCCUGUCCCUGCGACUUAUUCGGCGCCGCCGGCACAGGGGGCACGUGCAGGGGUGGGGAGUUGCGCUGUAGCGCGCUCGCGCAUGCGCAGGCCGCGGUCCCGCCGUGCGCUUUGUGGCGCUGCCGGAAGCGGGUGCGGGCCGAGUGCAGCGAGCGGCGCUCCCGGUCCCGUGUGGCCGCGGCCCCGUGGCGCCGGCGGCCUGAGGGAGCGGCGCGUCCCGACAUGUCUGCCGGGCUCUCGGCACAGAGUCUGACCAACAAGCCGCUGGUGCCGAGCGUGCCCGGCUCAGGCCUCCCGGGCUCUGUCGGGGUUCUGCUUUCCCUGCCCAGUGGAUAGCAGAUCCUAUUUAUUUGGCAAACAGUGAACUGCAGCGAGGCUUCUCCCCGGAGUAAGGGGGCUGUGCCUGCCAGAGAGUCCUUCCUGGUUGAGCAGUUUGGAGACUUCACGGGAAACUGGACUGACAAAUAAGUGCCAAUAUAUAAUAAACUGCUGAGUAAAAUUUUUUCUCAGUCGAGUGCACUGUUUCGUGGUCAAGUUCAUUAGAUAGUUGUUGGUGCAAAUGAGGGGUUUGAAAACUUACUGAAUUCUCGGGUGACCUUCCUGGAAGAUAAUUUUCUCAAACCUGCUGUGAAAAAUGAGAGUGAUAGUGAGAUGCAGAGUAGUGCUGAUGUCUGAGUAAUAACGCUUGAAAGCAGAAUAAUAGCCAAAUCAUACAAAACUGACUGAUGUUUUUGCUUUCCUAUGGCUCUGUUCAUCUUCAGCUGUAACAGUAUGCAACUUCUCUGCAGUAGGUGCCCUGCCUUCUGCUUAGGCCAGGCUGUGUCCAGCAGUGUUCCUGGAAACUAAGGAGGUCAUGAACUGGGGUCCAUGAACUGGGAGUUCUGGAGAUAGUAAAACCAGAGUCCUGUGGCUUAAAUGGCACCUUAUGUUCGAGACCCACCCUUCCCUGUGGCACAUUCAUGUAUUAACUUCUACAGAAAUGCAAUGAAAUCUGACAAAUUUGUCUUCUCUGGGCAAGGGCAGCUGUGAUUCUCUUCUCUGACCCUUAGUAGUGCUAUGGCUGAAUGGCUUGGGAAAGGAUGGCAGGAAUUCCUGGUUUUUUGUGUGCCUCAUCUCUUGCCUUGAAUAUAGACUUCUAAAAAAAUUAAUAGUAACCCUGACAUGCAUUUUUAAAAAAAUUCUUUAACAGAAUACUUAAAAUACCAACUUUCUGCUGAUCUUUCUCUCGGGUCUUCUAUUGGGUUCUUGCCAUUUUUAUUUUUUUGCCUGCUCUCUGCUCUUGCUGUUGUCCUUUACACACAGUGCACGCCUUAGGCAGUGCUGACCUGUCAGAUGGCUCCAGAGGUGAGCUACCAGGAGGGCUGUGCUUCCUCAGGCCUGGUAGGCUUAAUACCAGAGGUACAGUUAGUCUCAGCUAGAUCUGACUUGAGCUUGGAGGGCAGUGAUUCAUGCUCAGAAUGGUACAGGCCUGAGAAAAACCGCUCAUUAGAGUCUGGUUUGUGCUUUGGGGGAAGGUGGGCUGUGGAAGAAUGGCUUUCUGGCAAGAAUUGUUUCCUCUAGAGUGCAGAUAUUGCUACUGUUAGGUAGCAGAGGUCAUAUUAAAUGAGAGGAAUACUUAUAAAACAUAUCCGAUAUCCCAGAACUUUGAUGUAGACCUUUCUUAUUGUGGCUGCUUCUCUGGUUUGGGCUCAAUGAGGCCUUCAGCCUUCCUUGAGCAUAUCUCUGCGGAUGGGCUGUGUAUCUCUUGUACUACUAACCAUUGUGUCUGCUCUGCUUUUUUGGUUCUAAUAAAAACCAUGAAGGAUCCACUUUUGGGACAGCUCAUCUUUGUGCUUGAAAUUCCUUUGCAUCAUUGGAAAAUACUUCAUUUACAAUCUGAAGCUGCUGAACACAAAAUACUAAAUGUUCACAUUUGCUCCUAGCACUUCCCUCCUCAGUGCACUUUUUGGAGGAACUUCUCUGUACAUGGAUAUUGAUUCCCUGACCUCUCCCCUGCACACGAUCCAAACACCUCAGCUUCAGGCUCAGACCUUCUGCUCAUUCCUUCACAGUAACUAACUAACACAGUAACAGCAGAAUGGGGCUCUGUUUACUUCUCACUGUCUAACUUUAGUGAUCCAGGAGUUUAAAUAUUUUGGCUGCAGCUGUUCAUAUUAAGUCUUUGGAAACUGG